RNAcentral lists this ribosomal RNA (491 nucleotides) under uncultured bacterium. RNAcentral's name for it is "partial 16S ribosomal RNA". It matches the Rfam family "Bacterial small subunit ribosomal RNA", at positions 29 to 507 of the family's 1533-position model. The record is from RNAcentral.
AGUGAACGCUGGCGGUAGGCCUAACACAUGCAAGUCGAACGGCAGCACAGUAAGAGCUUGCUCUUACGGGUGGCGAGUGGCGGACGGGUGAGGAAUACAUCGGAAUCUACUUUUUCGUGGGGGAUAACGUAGGGAAACUUACGCUAAUACCGCAUGCGACCUACGGGUGAAAGCAGGGGAUCUUCGGACCUUGCGCGAUUGAAUGAGCCGAUGUCGGAUUAGCUAGUUGGCGGGGUAAAGGCCCACCAAGGCGACGAUCCGUAGCUGGUCUGAGAGGAUGAUCAGCCACACUGGAACUGAGACACGGUCCAGACUCCUACGGGAGGCAGCAGUGGGGAAUAUUGGACAAUGGGCGCAAGCCUGAUCCAGCAUACCGCGUGGGUGAAGAAGGCCUUCGGGUUGUAAAGCCCUUUUGUUGGGAAAGAAAAGCAGCAGGUUAAUACCCCGCUGUUCUGACGGUACCCAAAGAAUAAGCACCGGCUAACUUCGUG